UACACUCCUGCGGGAGGCAGCAGUGGGGAAUUUUGGACAAUGGGCGAAAGCCUGAUCCAGCAAUGCCGCGUGAGUGAAGAAGGCCUUCGGGUUGUAAAGCUCUUUUGUCAGGGAAGAAACGGUGAAAGCUAAUAUCUUUUGCUAAUGACGGUACCUGAGGAAUAAGCACCGGCUAACUACGUGCCAGCAGCCGCGGUAAUACGUAGGGUGCAAGCGUUAAUCGGAAUUACUGGGCGUAAAGCGUGCGCAGGCGGUUUUGUAAGUCUGAUGUGAAAUCCCCGGGCUCAACCUGGGAAUUGCAUUGGAGACUGCAAGGCUAGAAUCUGGCAGAGGGGGGUAGAAUUCCACGUGUAGCAGUGAAAUGCGUAGAUAUGUGGAGGAACACCGAUGGCGAAGGCAGCCCCCUGGGUCAAGAUUGACGCUCAUGCACGAAAGCGUGGGGAGCAAACAGGAUUAGAUACCCGUGUAGUCCCA
Molecule: ribosomal RNA, 474 nt
Filed under: uncultured organism
Description: partial 16S ribosomal RNA
Rfam family: Bacterial small subunit ribosomal RNA
Source: RNAcentral